Cyprinus carpio (common carp) is the source of this 1166-nucleotide long non-coding RNA. Lineage: Eukaryota; Metazoa; Chordata; Actinopteri; Cypriniformes; Cyprinidae. The record is from Ensembl.
CUUGGAGAUAAUGGGGUCUGUUUGCUUGUUUGCUCAUUUUUAGAGUGAAUUCGAGAGAACUUUUCCCAUGAUGUCAAAGAAUGGUCAAAGACCGGCGCUCCCCGCUGACCACUUCUGCCUGUUAAAUUCACACACUGGACUUUGGGGCCAGUUUUGUCAGAAAGCAUGACUUCAUAGCAGUGGCAGCGUGGCAAAGGUCUAGCAGAGCUUUAAGCCUGGAUAAACAGCCCAGUGGGAAUACCUCUCCUUCCUCUGUUUUUUCAGCUCAUGCAUUUGUUACUACUCAUUCCCACUCGAUGGAGCAGCGGUGCGCAUGCUGUCAAACCAGUUUUGGGCAGUCACGCCUCUACAGUUGACUGGCAUGGCACCAUGGAAACCAAAAAAUGGUGCGCCAAGGAUGGGAAAGAGACUUUCGGGGAAGUUCCAAAAGCCGAUCCGACUGAAAGCAUAGGCUUUGUGGACUCUCACCGAGAUCAAAGGAGGAUCAACAAACAGUUGUGUAAGGAGAGUCUGAGGGGGGGAAGUGGAAAGUCUUUCAGAUAUCUCUCCAGAUUAAUUCCUAUGGAGGUGAGGAGCACCCUACUGUCAGUAACACUUCAGGAGAACAGGACAAAACACACAGCAACUCAAAUUAAACUCUACUCAUCUGGCAAGAUUUGGGGAUUAGUUUACAUGACACAGUUUUCAACCAAAAACUGAACAUUUUGUAUGUGUUUUGGCCAUUUAUUUACACGACAAUAGUGUUUUGGGGGCCUUUGAAAAAGUUUUUGAAAAGGACUCCAUGUCUCCAUGAAUAUGUUUAAAUGUAAAAACUGGGAAGUUUUUUUAUUUGUGUUUUUCGCACAAUGCUGUCUAAACGAUCCCCAUUCACACGAAUCCGUGAAAACAACUUAAAAUGCUGUAUCAUGCAUUGCCAGUAGUUGGCGAUGUCAUUUUGUAAAGAAACACUUUGUGCACACAUAACACGUAUGCACAUCAGGGUGUACCUGUUUUAGCUUAUUAACAUUGUGUGUAUAUGAAAUAGAUGCUGACACGGUCAUCAGAGGCAGAAAUGUUUAAGUCAACACAACCCUCUUAUGUAAUAUUCGAGUGGCGAAUUAUAUUUUGUGCUUACAUUGGAGAUGCAUUAGAAUAAAGGUCAUAAAAUAUUUUAAUGCUACUGUGUU